Poecilia reticulata (guppy) is the source of this 1550-nucleotide long non-coding RNA. RefSeq lists it as uncharacterized. Lineage: Eukaryota; Metazoa; Chordata; Actinopteri; Cyprinodontiformes; Poeciliidae. The record is from RefSeq and is a predicted model, not a curated record.
UGAAUUUUAACAGGAAGACAGGCCACCAGCAAAAAAUCAGCGACCACAAUGUUGAAGAGGAACACGCUGUUAUUCUUCCAGAAUUUAUACCUGAAGAGGAAACAGUUCACAGAACAUUCAGUCAAGAGAAACAGAACGUUGAUCUGCUCAGAUCGUUUGGUUCCUGGCGUCUGCAGAUGAUUGAUUGAAACUAUUCUGGUUUCUCAGCAAUAUUAUCAUUGAUAAAGUUUCACAUGUCAGGAAAUGGCUGCUAUUUUUUAUAUUUACAGAGAACACUUUAAUUCAGGAAAUGUGUGAUUACAUCAAAAAAAAGUUAGACUGUGKUUGGCCUGUCGUGGAUUGAUAGAACAGUUAUUGCAACAUAUUAAUCUGGUGGCAUCUUUGUUGACAUGCAGCCCAAUUUCUAUAAACUGCACUUUGACAUUUAAGCAUCUGACAUAAAACAGAUAGCAUAAAAGUUUUUUGUGUGUGUUUGCACAUGCAACCUAAUUUAACAGUGAAUUACAUGUACUUAAGUUGUUUGAUAUUUUAUGCAGAUGUUAUGUUUUAAAUGCWUCUCAGCAGCCUUUGCUACCAAACUUGAACCUCAUAAUCUAACUAYAUCUAUACCUUAAUGUCAUGAAAAUUUCUGCCAUAAAAUUUUMMUCUYCGCAGCUGAAAAUCGGUGAUACCUGAAGAUGAAGAYGUAGAGCACCGAGAGGUUGAGAGGAAGUCCCAGAAUGAACUCCACAGUCAUCACGUAGGAGAGGACUUGAUCCUGGCAGUGAUUGAGAAACCCAGACAAUCCUUCGCCAUCCAUGCCAAAAGAUCCCAGGGGAACAGAGACGCCAAACAAACAAAAGAAAUCGGACGCAGCGCAGAGAGGAGGAGAAAACACUCCGUCUGAGUGCGUGUGUUUACACUUCAGGCAAGGCUGCAACUGAUCCCUCAGAGAGGAAGGACGUAUAUUUCAUCUGGAGGUGUGGUUAAAGAGAGUGGCUCAACUAACUGUGAAACGUCAAAACUCCUUUACAAAAAGACUGAAUUAGCCCUUGUUAUGAAGAAUCUGACUGGUUAGUAUUUAAUUUGUAUUUCAACUGAAAUUCCUGUUUGUUUGUUUGUUUGUUCCAACCGAUUGUCUCAAGAAGCAACUCUCAGCAUUUUUCUCUUUCUUCACAAGAUAUCUUUGCUUUAGAGUAUCUCGAGUUUUCCUCCUCCCAACUGCCAGUGGCAUGCGUCUUUAAAAGUUAAGGCAUUUCAAAGAAAAUCCAUAAGUUUUACACGAAGCACACUUUCAGGUUGGUUCGUUAGCAUCAACACUCGAGACAGUUGCUUUGUUUUGCAGAAGAAGAAAAAAAAAUGAGGUAAACAAAUGAGUCUGACUGUGUUUCUCUCUACAAAGCAACUGUUAUGCUUAAUACCCGACAGAUUGUGAAAUUUAGAGUUGUACGUAGGCAGAUGCGAGGUUAGCCUGUUUCCCGUAUUUGUGCAAAGCAACAUGUUGCUUCCUCCUGCAUCGCACACAAACUUAAGAUAAUCUUGUCUUUUCUUUUAUUAAAAAAAAAAAAAAA